AGAGUUUGAUCAUGGCUCAGAGCGAACGCUGGCGGCGUGCUUAACACAUGCAAGUCGAACGGGUGUAGCAAUACAUCCGUGGCGAACGGGUGCGUAACACGUGGAUAACCUUCCUUCAGGUGGGGAAUAACCCAGUGAAAAUUGGGCUAAUACCGCAUAACAUCGCGAUGGCACAUGCCGUUGCGCUCAAAGCCGCAAGGCGCCAGAAGAGGGAUCCGCGGCCGAUUAGCUUGUUGGCGGGGUAAUGGCCCACCAAGGCAUUGAUCGGUAUCCGGACUGAGAGGUUGGCCGGACACACUGGAACUGAGACACGGUCCAGACUCCUACGGGAGGCAGCAGUGGGGAAUCUUGCACAAUGGGCGAAAGCCUGAUGCAGCAACGCCGCGUGGGGGAUGAAGCUUCUCGGAGUGUAAACCCCUUUCGACCCGGACGAAAGCCCGCAAGGGUUUGACGGUACGGGUAUAAGAAGCCCCGGCUAACUACGUGCCAGCAGCCGCGGUAAUACGUAGGGGGCCAGCGUUGCUCGGAAUUACUGGGCGUAAAGGGUCCGUAGGCGGUGUGGUAAGUCGAUAGUGAAAUCUCUGGGCUUAACUCAGAGGCUGCUAACGAAACUACCAUGCUAGAGUGUGAGAGAGGCGAGUGGAAUUACGGGUGUAGCGGUGAAAUGCGUAGAUAUCCGUAGGAACAUCCGAGGCGAAAGCGGCUCGCUGGAUCACAACUGACGCUGAGGGACGAAAGCUAGGGGAGCAAACAGGAUUAGAUACCCCCGUAGUCC
This 775-nucleotide ribosomal RNA is filed under the name uncultured bacterium. RNAcentral describes it as "bacterial SSU rRNA". It matches the Rfam family "Bacterial small subunit ribosomal RNA", at positions 8 to 796 of the family's 1533-position model. The record is from RNAcentral.